GCAAGAUGCGAGCGAGUGGACAUCUUCUACCUGAGAGGAGAUCAAGGCCAGAUUGCAGUGAUUUGCUUGAUCGUUGCCAUGGUGGCGCUGAUCGGCCUGAUAAUAUGCAUCUGCACGUGCAGUCAUCACUGUCGGAAGCGCCGCAGGAGGAGAAAGGAAGAAGAAAUGGAAACGCUAGAGAAAGAGUUGCCUACCAAACAGGAGGAUGUCCUAGAGACGGACAUUGCAUGAAGGUUACUGAAGGCACCUGCAGGCAGGUUCCAAACAGCACAAUGUCUUGCUCUAUUGGAGAGGGACACAGAAGGGCUAUUGCCCGGAUAAUAAAGGCAGAUGAAUAACAGG
Molecule: long non-coding RNA, 342 nt
Organism: Emys orbicularis (European pond turtle)
Lineage: Eukaryota; Metazoa; Chordata; Testudines; Emydidae
Exons: 3
Source: RefSeq, a predicted model, not a curated record